AAUCCGUGAUGUGGGCAAUAUCUCAACAAGUCCUUAAACCUCUCCUAUGCGCUUCGUAUAUGCUUUCAUCAUCAAACCGCAUAACAAGAAAUGUCAUUUCUAAGUUU
Molecule: small nucleolar RNA, 107 nt
Organism: Ricinus communis (castor bean)
Lineage: Eukaryota; Viridiplantae; Streptophyta; Magnoliopsida; Malpighiales; Euphorbiaceae
Source: RefSeq, a predicted model, not a curated record